RNAcentral lists this ribosomal RNA (579 nucleotides) under Triticum aestivum (bread wheat). RNAcentral's name for it is "partial small subunit ribosomal RNA". The record is from RNAcentral. Lineage: Eukaryota; Viridiplantae; Streptophyta; Magnoliopsida; Poales; Poaceae.
AUGGACCCCAUCAGCAUAGAGAAGAUCAGGGCCAUGAGGAAGUACAGGAGGAACAGGAAGCAGCAGCAGCUGCUGCUGCUCCCUGCCCUCGCACCGUACCUGGUGGCCACCUGUGCCGUCCUCUGCCUGCUGCUCACCAGCCCUGCCUGGUUCCCCGGGGUGUGCUCGCUCCUCGUCUCCUUCCUCCUCACCACCCUCCCUGACCUGGCCAUCGCCUUCCUGCUCAGCCCCAAGUGCCUCUUCGUCGUCGGCAACCUCAUCGUCGCCUUCCUCAUCGCCCAGUCUAGGCUAGCUCCGAAGAGCCAGCCCGCUUCCGUUGUGGAUGUCAACGACGUCCACGAGGAGUACGUGAAGAGGAGCGUCGCGCCGAUGACCGCUAAGGCGACAGCUACCACGGUGGUGUUCACCGAUCAUGGCGCCUCGGUAGAAGGAGUUUGGGAGGGAGAGAAGGAGAAGGAGGAGGAGGAGGUGGUGGAGCAGGGAGAGGAGGAGCUGGAGAAGAGGGUGGACGACUUCAUCGCUAGGGUGAAGAGGCAGAGGAAGCUCGAAGGCAAGAGCUUCUUCGACACCGAUCGAUAG